AAGACACCCUGCCGCAUUUGCCCGUGUCCGCCGCCGCCGACCGCAACCAGCGCCUCCACGCGCGGGCGGCUCGCGCUCGUGCCUCCCUGCCGCCCCGCGCAGCCGCCCACCGGAGCUCCGCUACCGGACCAACGCGCCGCCAUGCCCUCCUCUCCUUCUUCCUUCCCCUCCCCCUUGUUCUAUUUCUCACAUCCCCCCCUCGCUCUCUCCUUCGCAGGAAGCGGAAGCCAUGGCCCUGGACCUCCAUGUCAGACCGCCGCCCCGCGCUGGCCGGCCAUCGGAGCGCCGCCGCCGGACCAACGCGCCGCCCUGCCCUCCUCUCCUUCUUCCCUCCCUUCCUCUGGUUCUAUUUCUCACAUCCCUCUCUCUCUCCCCCCCUUCACAGGAAGCGGAAGCCAUGGUCGUUGGAUCUCCAUGCCGGACCGCCACCCCACGCCGGCCGGCCACCGGAGCGCCGCCUCCGGAGCAACGCGGGUUGCCGCGCUGGACCGCAAGCGGAUGCACUGAUUGUGCUCGACGGAGAUGGGCCCUGUGUGUGCCCUGCAGCCUGGACGAAACUCCGGCGAGGCCAUGAGCUCCCGAGCCCCAACCCGGGUGUAGGAGCGUACGGGAGCACCGUCGUGGAUCCUGCGCGUCCUAGGUCCGCCGAGGCCACGGGCUCCCAAGUCGGGCAUAGGUGCGUACUGGAGCAACGCCCGCCUGGGCGAGGUCCUCCUGCUUCUGGAGGAGGCGAACAAGCCGAGCCAAGCCAUGAGGCGCCCGUGGCCAACAUAGUCUAUUAAACCUUCGAUAUGCUGGAGGGUGAUGAGGUGACAUGGAGCUAAACAUAGAUUGAAGAUUCUGUCAUGGGUUCCUCAGAGAAGAUAGAACAAAUGCGUAUGGAGAUCCAGCUGUUGAAGAUGCCGAGGGACAAGAACAUUCAGGAGUUGUUCGCCUAAUGGGUUGGUUCUGUAGGAAGCACAAGAAAGUGGGUAUGAAAGCUAUGAGACGAUGGCCAAUACAGAUAUUGACAGGGCUGGAAUAUCAUUAGAGUCCGGCGCUAACGAAUAUACAUAGCGACUUAAAGUGUGACAAUAUAUUCAUAAAUAGUCCUGAUGGAACAGUGAAGAUCGGCGACUAUAUGGUCUGGCGACAUUAUUGCAUCAAUGGAAAAAGCAAAGUGUCAAAGGCGCAUUAGACUUUACAGCACCAGAACGCUUCACUGGCAAUACAAUGAGUUGCUUGGGUAUUCCAAUCCCCUUGCUGAACCCUGUGCUAUUCGCAGCCUCUUCUGUCAAUCCAGCAGCACACCGCUGCCCUUCGCAUCCUCCCUGCAUCACUGCAACUGGGCCGUGCUCACAUCGUCUGCGGUCACAUGCGCAAUCUUUGCGCUCGACGCUGCCUCCACCGAGAUACAUUGCAAGGGUGCCUGAAACGCCCACUGCUGGGUACAUGCAUACAACAAUUAUGCCAUGUCUUCCCUAUUCGAUCGGUCGCACAGGUAUGUUUCUUUUCCUUCUUUGUUUAGUUUUAAAGAAAAGAUUAAUUUCUGAACUCACCAUAUUUUUAUACUAUAUAUAAGCAUGGAUGACUAGAAUAGUUGAUUGUCAGUUCACUUAUAUUUCUGCUAUGGAAAGGAGCAUCAGUUUUACGCAUGCUUCCCGGGUCCUUGGUGAGAGGCCUCUGUGAUGUUAUUCUUUUAGGUAAGCUUUACUCAGGUUGCUACUCAUGUCACAGUGUCUGUAAUUUAGCCAGAGUCAGGUUCAGAGUUAUUGACUGAAUUUUUCGGGCACAACCAUCAAGCAACCUGAGUAAAGCUUACCUAAGCCAAUGAUUUUGUUCUUUUAGCUAGAGCCAGGUUCAGAGUUGUUCACUCUGGAUUUUUUGGGCACAACCAUCAAGCAAGCUAGCACGUAUUGUUUAACUGAAGCAAAGGGCAGCUAAGCUAUGAAUGCUUCAUUCUUUGUUCUACACAAAUGCAGCUACUAUUUGUAUUUGAUCUGAGCAAAGGUGCAACCAAUUGAAGUUAUUUUGAAGAACCUGCACCUGAGUAUAUAUGUUCUGAUUUUAUAGCCUGCAGAGUCUGUAGAGUAAAGUUUGUACAUUUUGUGAAUCGCUUUGUUCCUGUUUCCCUUGGUGUAUAGUCUAUACUGUAUCAGGUUAUUUACUAUGUGCAGAUUUGUUUGUGCCAUUGCCGAUCAUGUACUUCUUUCUGUGCUUGGAAGCAUAGUCUCAUCGUAUCCCCUAGAUCUGUAUAAGUAUAUUUAGCUCACAUACACUUGGCAUUUGUUCUUCAAAAGGCGAUGUCCUCGAUGCUGGACUCCUGGUAACAGUUUAUUACAUGUUAUUUCUUUUUUUGGUGAGUCUUUUCUUGAGAUUUAGGAUUAUGGAGUUAACGGGUGUUACUUUUGACCUGCUAAUACAGCUGCGUUAAACUUUUUGCUCUUCGAAAGCAACUAUCUCCUGUAGAUGAAAGACUUCCUGCAAGUGAGCUCUUGAAUAACUCUUACCUCCAGGAAGAUGAGGUCUAUUCCAGCGCCUUCAAUUUCAGUCUCUCUGGUCUCAAGUGUGACUGAAGAUGGGUGGCAAUCUGCAAGUUUCGUGCUUUGGAAGGGUGAAUUCUUACUGAAAAACCAUAUGUUUCUUACCGACCAUAUUAAUUUAUUGCUAAGGUUUCCUCAUACCACUGGCUGUUUAAAGAAUGCUGAGUUGUCAAGCGAGGUGCUGCAGUGGCUGGCGUUGCCGAGCAUGGGACGACGUCUCUAGGCUCCUGCCUGAGGCAAGCCUCUCCGGCCUCCUCGGAUGCCCUCUAGGAACUGGCACUGCGUAUGAUGGUCUCCUCACCUAGCACCUAGGUUGACCUAGCCACCGCCAUCGAAGCGGAGAGUUGACAAUAUAUGUAUGAUUGUUGGACGUGUCAGUCCUGCCAUUGACAUGUUCAAAACUAUGAAUUGGGUGAUUACAAAUAUGCUUUGAUCAAUGAAAUGAAAGGAUGUUCUGUUA
Molecule: non-coding RNA, 2982 nt
Organism: Triticum urartu
Lineage: Eukaryota; Viridiplantae; Streptophyta; Magnoliopsida; Poales; Poaceae
Source: RefSeq, a predicted model, not a curated record